RNAcentral lists this ribosomal RNA (486 nucleotides) under uncultured bacterium. RNAcentral describes it as "partial 16S ribosomal RNA". It matches the Rfam family "Bacterial small subunit ribosomal RNA", at positions 29 to 507 of the family's 1533-position model. The record is from RNAcentral.
AUUGAACGCUGGCGGCAUGCCUUACACAUGCAAGUCGAACGGCAGCACGGGUGCUUGCACCUGGUGGCGAGUGGCGAACGGGUGAGUAAUACAUCGGAACAUGUCCUGUAGUGGGGGAUAGCCCGGCGAAAGCCGGAUUAAUACCGCAUACGAUCUACGGAUGAAAGCGGGGGACCUUCGGGCCUCGCGCUAUAGGGUUGGCCGAUGGCUGAUUAGCUAGUUGGUGGGGUAAAGGCCUACCAAGGCGACGAUCAGUAGCUGGUCUGAGAGGACGACCAGCGACACUGGGACGGAGACACGGACCAGACUCCUACGGGAGGCAGCAGUGGGGAAUUUUGGACAAUGGGCGAAAGCCUGAUCCAGCAAUGCCGCGUGUGUGAAGAAGGCCUUCGGGUUGUAAAGCACUUUUGUGCGGAAAGAAAUCCUUGGCCCUAAUACGGUCGGGGGAUGACGGUACCGGAAGAAUAAGCACCGGCUAACUACGUG